This is a regulatory RNA element of Acholeplasma oculi, 98 nucleotides long. It matches the Rfam family "S10-Clostridia ribosomal protein leader". The record is from Rfam. NCBI's taxonomy places the organism in Bacteria, Bacillati, Mycoplasmatota, Mollicutes, Acholeplasmatales, Acholeplasmataceae.
GUAAAGCGUUGAUCUGGGAGGUUGUUGAUACACUGAUAGCCGUUGUCUAUGUAUCAAGUAUUUCCAGGGAGUAAAGUCUAUGCAAGGAUUAUAGGCGA